Long non-coding RNA from Helianthus annuus (common sunflower), 2982 nucleotides. RefSeq lists it as uncharacterized. NCBI's taxonomy places the organism in Eukaryota, Viridiplantae, Streptophyta, Magnoliopsida, Asterales, Asteraceae. The transcript is spliced from 6 exons. The record is from RefSeq and is a predicted model, not a curated record.
UGCUUUCUUCCCAUCUUCUCAAAAGAGAUACACGGGCACACAGAAAGAGACGGGAGAAAAGAGAUGCGAAAGAAAGCAGAGAGAGAUCAGGAGCCGGCGAAUCUCCGGCAACCGGCCCUACGCGUGCUCGCCUCCCACCCACAGAAACGAAGUAAGUCAUCGAGUCUACGUUUCCCGGCUAGGGUUCCGACCAAGUUCUGGCAAUUUCCGGUUAGCCUUUUUAUCUUGCAUGUUGGCUAUUUGGUUAGAUCGGUUGUCCAUGAACCUUAAUCUGACGAGUCAUGCUGAUCUGUGGAGUAGGUUACCUCCGGUGAGGUCCCGGCGAGGUUCCGGUGAGGUACCGGAGAAGAUUUCGGUGUUGCUCGGAUUGGGUAGUCUAGAGAGAGAGAGAGAGAGAGAGAGAGGUGGUGGCUGUUCAGAUUCUAGAGCUCGAUGCCUCGAUGUAUAAGUCGGGCGACUAUUUCGACGGAGAGAAGUUCGUCGGCGGCGGAUGCGAACAUGUUCUAAAUCAGUGUAGUGUCGUGCUCCGUCGAUGACACCGAUAUCUGUCAUAUCUUCAACCCUAACAUCAUCUUCUUAAUCCUCCCUUCCCCGUCGCUCCACCUCCGCCGGAUCGGCAUUACGCGCGCCGCCUCCAACAACCACUACGCUGCGCUGUUCUCGGUGUAUCAGCAGGCGCUUUAACUUCGGAUAUCAAGAGAUCGUAUCGUCUACUGGCUUGAAAGGGAAAGAUGUUGUGUAAUGACUGCCAUAUCACGCUCCUUCCAUGCUACUUGAAAAGCAUGUAUCAACAAAGAGAAUUGUAUAUGAGUGCUAAGGAAAAGUUGAAAGUUACAGCAAGUUACAAGCACCUGCUUCUGCUCAAUUCAGAUACUAAAUCCACGGCGUGUUGGGUACCUUACACAACAAGAAACUUCGCAACUACAUUUAAAAAGAAGCAGUUGAAGAUGGUUCUAUAGAUUAUUAUAGCCGCUAGCAAGUCUUUGGUUAUUCAUUAAAGGUUGUUCUAUACAGCUCAAGGGUAUAUAGAUGCUAACCCUGAAAUUCUUUUGUUCCCCACUAAAUGGAUCCAGCAAGUUCAACUCCCACUUGGUGCAGAGUGAGGCACUGGUGCGUAAUGAUAGGAGACCCAGGGAAACCUGGGCUGGAUCCUUGAGCCAAACGGGUUUUACCGGUAAUUUCACCGUCGUGCCUACGGGCGGGUGGGUUACCGGGUUUUCCCCGGAAUUGGUGGUGGACUCGGGUUACUCUCGGAGUACUCCGUUUGUCCAGUGGGUACCCCGAGAGUGAUCGGGAUUGAUUCUGUUGCCCGUUCAAAAAAAAUGGAUCCAGCAAGGUUUUGCAUUCAGAGAGCCUUCUUAAACCACCGGAAGCUUAAGUGCUUCUGAUGUAUGUAGAUAUCAUUUUCUUCAAUUUUCCAGUUAUUUUUUUUGUUUUUUGUUUCAUUUAUGUAUUCCCUUACAGGAGACAAAUCCUUUGCUAACCUAAAGACAAGUGUGAUCUUUAUAUAUGAUGUUGCAUCUUUUAUGAUGAAUUUUCAGAUGAUUCAUGUUGAAGAGACUAAUGGAGAAGCCAACUUUAUGGAUUCCAGCUUAUCUAUCUUAAAGAAUGCAGUUUGAACUUAAAUGAAUUAAUGGACUCAAAGUUGGAUAGCCACCAGAUCAAUUUUAAUCUUGAGAUGGAAUUAAAGCCACAAGCACAACCACUGUGUGUGUGACUUAACACGGGUAUGGUAUGCACAAGGCUUUGUAUAGUUAAUGGGCCAUUUGAAGUACCGCACAGAUUCAAUAUUUAUGUACUUUUGUGAAAUGUAGCAGUUUUUGGGAUCUUGGGAGUUUUUUAUGGAUAGAAUACCUCCGACAAGAAAAAAAAAACGCGUUAAACUAAAGCCGUCAUUUCUUCUCUUGGUUUUACAAUUACGGAGUUCAAUGUCCGUUCGUAGUAACCAAACCUAGAAAUCUAGAAAUGAAGCAUGAUAAAGAUUUUAGCAUGAAGACACCGAACGUGAUAAAGAUUAAACAAUGCUUUUGUAAUCAUAUAUGUUAACCGCAAUGUAAGUCGCGCGACAGUGGAUAACCCUAGUUUUCCUUCAAAUGCAUCUACUGAGCCACCAAGUGCCAAAGUUUUCCCUCACAUAAUUUUUCUUGAUAACUCUGUUAGGCUAGACGGUAUGGGGACCGUCCAGCACCGGCGACGACGAACACACCGUGCCGCCCCCCCCCGUUUGAGACGGGCCGGAAAAGACAAAAAAAUGUGGGGACCGAGGAACAAUAUGACCGUUAGAAUAAAAAAAAUCAAAUUCACUUUUUCAUUUAUUAACCAACGGCAAUUUUUUAAAAUUAUAUCAAAUUCACUCCAAAUUUUAUAAAUACUCACCACUUUUACAUCAUUUUUCAUACCUUUUCACCCACUACAAUCUCAUAUCUCUCUCACAUUUUAUAAACACUCUUCCCUUUUUAUAUAAACUCAACAUUUUUAUACCAUUUUUUACCCACUACCACCCCAUCUCUCUCUCAAAAUUUACCACAGGGUUCACCUUCUUCCAUUUCUUCAUCUUCUUCGUCUACGUGAUAUUCAUCAUCUUCGGAAGAGAAUGACGCAUUUAUGGAAAACUAAUUACGUACGCGGCUCAGGUCUUCAUGGCAGGUGAUGAAGCGUCGUCCCAACGGCUAACUAGACGAGCAAAAUUAAACCGAGACAAAGAAGCCGCCCACGAUAAACUAGUGGUCGAUUAUUUUGCCGACGAACCCGUGUACACAGACGAGAUGUUUCGACGUCGGUUCCGCAUGAGUCGUCGACUUUUUUUACGUAUCGCAGGCGACAUGGCCCAGUCUGAUCCGUUUUUUACACUGCGAUACGACGCUAGGGGGCAAAGGGGUUUCACUAAUUUACAAAAAUGUACGUCGGCCAUUCUCCAACUGGCAUAUGGUUACGCACCCGAUGCAUUAGACGAGUAUUUAAGGAUGUCCGAAAGAACCGCAU